This 112-nucleotide ribosomal RNA is filed under the name uncultured Cladosporium. Its description in RNAcentral is "partial 28S ribosomal RNA". The stretch from base 56 to 112 matches the Rfam family "Eukaryotic large subunit ribosomal RNA", at positions 1 to 57 of the family's 3401-position model. The record is from RNAcentral. Lineage: Eukaryota; Fungi; Ascomycota; Dothideomycetes; Cladosporiales; Cladosporiaceae.
AUUCGCUAAAGGGUGCUCGGGAGGCUACGCCGUAAAACAAACCCAUUUCUAAGGUUGACCUCGGAUCAGGUAGGGAUACCCGCUGAACUUAAGCAUAUCAAUAAGCGGAGGA